CUGACGGAGCACGCCGCGUGAGUGAUGAAGGUCUUCGGAUCGUAAAACUCUGUUAUUAGGGAAGAACAAAUGUGUAAGUAACUAUGCACGUCUUGACGGUACCUAAUCAGAAAGCCACGGCUAACUACGUGCCAGCAGCCGCGGUAAUACGUAGGUGGCAAGCGUUAUCCGGAAUUAUUGGGCGUAAAGCGCGCGUAGGCGGUUUUUUAAGUCUGAUGUGAAAGCCCACGGCUCAACCGUGGAGGGUCAUUGGAAACUGGAAAACUUGAGUGCAGAAGAGGAAAGUGGAAUUCCAUGUGUAGCGGUGAAAUGCGCAGAGAUAUGGAGGAACACCAGUGGCGAAGGCGACUUUCUGGUCUGUAACUGACGCUGAUGUGCGAAAGCGUGGGGAUCAAACA
RNAcentral lists this ribosomal RNA (398 nucleotides) under Staphylococcus sp. RNAcentral describes it as "bacterial SSU rRNA". It matches the Rfam family "Bacterial small subunit ribosomal RNA", at positions 383 to 774 of the family's 1533-position model. The record is from RNAcentral. Lineage: Bacteria; Bacillati; Bacillota; Bacilli; Caryophanales; Staphylococcaceae.